Long non-coding RNA from Panicum virgatum (switchgrass), 734 nucleotides. RefSeq lists it as uncharacterized. The transcript has 4 exons. The record is from RefSeq and is a predicted model, not a curated record. Lineage: Eukaryota; Viridiplantae; Streptophyta; Magnoliopsida; Poales; Poaceae.
AAGGCGGACCUAGGGCUCUCGGUGGAGGAGAUCGAGAUGGCGCUCGCGUCGAACAACCGCAAGCUAGCUCGCAUCCACGUCGCCCUUUUGAAGGCUAUUAUCCAAGAACACAAUGAUGCAUUGCUGGAAACAACAAAUGAAAUCCAAAGGAUGCCCAAGAAUGCAGAUUCAGUCCAUCUGAUGGAAACACAUUCAGGAUUUCUUCCUACCAUUUCUGAUGAUGUGCAUUUUAUGGAAGUCCUGAAGGUUCAGAACUGUGAAACUCCUAGGUCUCAUCAGAGCUCGACUGUACCAGAUGCAAUGAGAUGCCACUGACAAGCUCCAGCCUCAGCCACAACAGCAAGCUCAAGCUUGCCCCAUCCCGACAGCAACCUCAUGACUGCCACAUCCAGCCACGGUGUGCUACGAGGGAUGAGACGGUACUACCAGGGUUACCUAUGUGGAUGUGGUGCCAGAAUGUACAGCUGGACUGGAGGCAUCAAAAGUAUUUAAAAUUUUUUCUCCAUCAUCCACCUAGUGUUAGAUGGUACAAGGUAAAAUGCUCAAAUGCUCAAGGUUCAGCACCUAGAACUUCAGCUUAAGGCGGUAUCUCCUGGUACCAGUUACCCAGUUCGCGCCACUUACAUGACUCGGUGGUGAAGGGGUACUGGGGUGUAUUGGGUAGGAGGUUGUAUGGAGUAUUAGUAAGGCGGAAGAGGAAUGUAUGUAGUAAAUAAUUUAUAUAUUAAUUGAAG